RNAcentral lists this ribosomal RNA (885 nucleotides) under uncultured equine intestinal bacterium. RNAcentral describes it as "bacterial SSU rRNA". It matches the Rfam family "Bacterial small subunit ribosomal RNA", at positions 507 to 1397 of the family's 1533-position model. The record is from RNAcentral.
GCCAGCAGCCGCGGUAAUACGGAGGAUCCGAGCGUUAUCCGGAUUUAUUGGGUUUAAAGGGUGCGUAGGCGGCAUCUCAAGUCUGUGGUGAAAUGUCAGGGCUCAACCUUGGCACUGCCAUGGAAACUGGGGGGCUAGAGUGCGUUUGGGGUGCAUGGAAUGUGUGGUGUAGCGGUGAAAUGCAUAGAUAUCACACAGAACGCCGAUCGCGAAGGCAGUGCACCAAGCCGCGACUGACGCUGAGCACGAAAGUGCGGGGAUCGAACAGGAUUAGAUACCCUGGUAGUCCGCACAGUAAACGAUGGAUGCUCGCCGUCCGCGAUAUACAGUGGGUGGCCAAGCGAAAGCGAUAAGCAUCCCACCUGGGGAGUACGCCGGCAACGGUGAAACUCAAAGGAAUUGACGGGGGCCCGCACAAAGCGGAGGAACAUGUGGUUUAAUUCGAUGAUACGCGAGGAACCUUACCCGGGCUUAAAUACAGGAGACUGGCCGUGAAAGCGGUCUUCCAGCAAUGGCUCCUGUGUAGGUGCUGCAUGGUUGUCGUCAGCUCGUGCCGUGAGGUGUCGGCUUAAGUGCCAUAACGAGCGCAACCCCUGUCCGUAGUUGCCAGCAUUAAGAUGGGGACUCUACGGAGACUGCCACCGCAAGGUGCGAGGAAGGCGGGGAUGACGUCAAAUCAGCACGGCCCUUACGUCCGGGGCGACACGCGUGUUACAAUGGGGGGUACAGAGGGAAGCGACGCGGCGACGCGGAGCGAAUCUCGGAAAGCCCCUCUCAGUUCGGAUCGGAGUCUGCAACUCGACUCCGUGAAGCUGGAUUCGCUAGUAAUCGCGCAUCAGCCAUGGCGCGGUGAAUACGUUCCCGGGCCUUGUACACACCGCCCGU